UCUCAGCGGAAAGUUCUAAUUAAAUCUUCUUUUUCUCAAUUCUCAUACUAUAAUCACAAUCUGUACAAGAAUUAAACAUCUCAGCUCUUAGUUUUUUCUUAGCUUAUCAUCAUCGUAUUACUCCCAAUUCUCAUGAAACUCUUAUGCCAUAGAACAAAAAAUUUGAAGAAAGAGCAAAUUUGAAGCAACAAUUAAACGACGACGACAUCAGUUGGCAACGGUCAACGCCGGAAAGUUAACAGCAGUUGUGGACAUGGAAACGGCGACGACAAUUGUUAGAGACGAAGGCAAGGAUAACAACGCCACAUGCUUUUGAUCUGUUGUUUUCCAUUCUUAAAGAAGGGGGGCAUAAGGGUCUUAGUUUAAUAACAAAUUGGUGUAUAUUGGGUUUUGAGGUAUUUAUGAAAAAAUUUAUUUUGCCGUGAGAGAUUUUUGCAUAUUAAUAUUUUGUGGGGCUAAGUACACAAAUCCCCUUAAAUCAUAUUAGGUUUUCAUUAGUGCCUCACAAAAUACUUUUAUGCGAAAAUCUCUCAGAAAAAAGUACAACUUUUCAUGAAUACCCCAAAACUUAAAAUGAGCUGGUUUACUAAAAAAAUAGGACAUGUAUACCCCUUUCUUCUCCAACUCACUAGAAAAUAAGAAACUGAGAGGAACUGUCGUUAUUAUCCUUUCAGUCAUAGAUGACGCUGCCAACGAUGCUUCCAUGUCCACCGGCGCCGUCAACUUCCCGACGUCGGCGAUUGUUGGUGCUAUUUAAACCGAUGUCGUUACAACACUGUUGCUUCAAAUCUCUUUUUUCUUUCAAAUCUGGAAAAGUCGACCAUGUCUGAUGAUAUGGCUAUGGUGGAUUUUAAUUUAACUGUUAAUACUUAUUUGCUCUUAUUCAGGAACUAAUUGCUUCUUGGGAAACUAUCACCAUCAAUCCUCCUUCCUUGAUGAAAUAUUUGAAGAUAACGUAGUGCACAAGGUGAAAGGAACGUUCAAAGACAAAUUUUAAUUUAUUUAAAUUCAAUUAAUAUUCAUUGAGAAAUUAGAUGCCGGUGAUACAUUUUGAUUUGUCCAAAAUUACAUGAAGGAAAUGAACUUGAAAUGAACUUGAUGUAAACCAUCCUAAAAAUAAAAUAAUUUUAAAAUUUAUAGUGAGUAUUUUUUUUCUCUA
This is a long non-coding RNA of Mercurialis annua (annual mercury), 1159 nucleotides long. RefSeq lists it as uncharacterized. The record is from RefSeq and is a predicted model, not a curated record. Lineage: Eukaryota; Viridiplantae; Streptophyta; Magnoliopsida; Malpighiales; Euphorbiaceae. The transcript is spliced from 2 exons.